Molecule: non-coding RNA, 22 nt
Filed under: Arabidopsis thaliana (thale cress)
Lineage: Eukaryota; Viridiplantae; Streptophyta; Magnoliopsida; Brassicales; Brassicaceae
Source: RNAcentral
GACGCCAAACUGUGAUCCGUCC